CGUAGGUGGCGAGCGUUGUCCGGAAUUACUGGGUGUAAAGGGCGUGUAGGCGGGAUUGUAAGUCAGAUGUGAAAUUCCACGGCUUAACUGUGGGGCUGCAUCUGAAACUACAAUUCUUGAGUGCUGGAGAGGAAAGCGGAAUUCCUAGUGUAGCGGUGAAAUGCGUAGAUAUUAGGAGGAACACCAGUGGCGAAGGCGGCUUUCUGGACAGUAACUGACGCUGAGGCGCGAAAGCGUGGGGAGCAAACAGGAUUAGAUACCCUGGUAGUCCACGCUGUAAACGAUGGAUACUAGGUGUAGGAGGUAUCGACCCCUUCUGUGCCGGAGUUAACACAAUAAGUAUCCCACCUGGGGAGUACGGCCGCAAGGUUG
RNAcentral lists this ribosomal RNA (372 nucleotides) under uncultured organism. RNAcentral's name for it is "bacterial SSU rRNA". It matches the Rfam family "Bacterial small subunit ribosomal RNA", at positions 526 to 896 of the family's 1533-position model. The record is from RNAcentral.